UGGGGAAUAUUGGACAAUGGGGGCAACCCUGAUCCAGCGAUGCCGCGUGUGUGAAGAAGGCCUGCGGGUUGUAAAGCACUUUCGGUGGUGAGGAUUGCAACUUGGCUGAUAAGCCUGAGUUGUUGACGUUAGCCACAUAAGAAGCACCGGCAAACUCUGUGCCAGCAGCCGCGGUAAUACAGAGGGUGCAAGCGUUAAUCGGAAUUACUGGGCGUAAAGGGCGCGUAGGUUGGAACAUAAGUCAGAUGUGAAAGCCCCGGGCUUAACCUGGGAAUUGCAUAUGAUACUGUGUUUCUAGAGUGGAGUAGAGGGCAGUGGAAUUUCCGGUGUAGCGGUGAAAUGCGUAGAUAUCGGAAGGAACACCAGUGGCGAAGGCGGCUGCCUGGACUCUAACUGACACUGAGGCGCGAAAGCGUGGGGAGCGAACAGGAUUAGAUACCCGCGUAGUCC
RNAcentral lists this ribosomal RNA (450 nucleotides) under uncultured bacterium. RNAcentral describes it as "bacterial SSU rRNA". It matches the Rfam family "Bacterial small subunit ribosomal RNA", at positions 355 to 796 of the family's 1533-position model. The record is from RNAcentral.